RNAcentral lists this ribosomal RNA (1485 nucleotides) under uncultured bacterium. RNAcentral describes it as "16S ribosomal RNA". It matches the Rfam family "Bacterial small subunit ribosomal RNA". The record is from RNAcentral.
AGAGUUUGAUCCUGGCUCAGGAUGAACGCUGGCGGCGUGCCUAAUACAUGCAAGUCGAACGCAUAUCUUCGGAUAUGAGUGGCGAACGGGUGAGUAAUACAUAAGUAACCUGGCCUUAAGAGGGGGAUAACUAUUAGAAAUGAUAGCUAAGACCGCAUAGGUAUGAAGAUCGCAUGAUCGACAUAUUAAAUAUCCCACGGGAUAGCUGAAGGAUGGACUUAUGGCGCAUUAGCUAGUUGGUAGGGUAACGGCCUACCAAGGCGACGAUGCGUAGCCGACCUGAGAGGGUGGACGGCCACACUGGGACUGAGACACGGCCCAGACUCCUACGGGAGGCAGCAGUAGGGAAUUUUCGGCAAUGGGGGGAACCCUGACCGAGCAACGCCGCGUGAGGGAGGAAGUAUUUCGGUAUGUAAACCUCUGUUAUAAAGGAAGAACGGUGCAUGUAGGGAAUGACAUGCAAGUGACGGUACUUUAUGAGGAAGCCACGGCUAACUACGUGCCAGCAGCCGCGGUAAUACGUAGGUGGCGAGCGUUAUCCGGAAUUAUUGGGCGUAAAGAGGGAGCAGGCGGCAGCUAAGGUCUGCGGUGAAAGCCCGAAGCUAAACUUCGGUAAGCCGUGGAAACCGAGCAGCUAGAGUGCAGUAGAGGAUCGUGGAAUUCCAUGUGUAGCGGUGAAAUGCGUAGAUAUAUGGAGGAACACCAGUGGCGAAGGCGACGAUCUGGGCUGCAACUGACGCUCAGUCCCGAAAGCGUGGGGAGCAAAUAGGAUUAGAUACCCUAGUAGUCCACGCCGUAAACGAUGAGUACUAAGUGUUGGGGGUCAAACCUCAGUGCUGCAGUUAACGCAAUAAGUACUCCGCCUGAGUAGUACGUUCGCAAGAAUGAAACUCAAAGGAAUUGACGGGGGCCCGCACAAGCGGUGGAGCAUGUGGUUUAAUUCGAAGCAACGCGAAGAACCUUACCAGGUCUUGACAUCGAUCUAAAGGAUCCAGAGAUGGAUAGAUAGUUAUAGAGAAGACAGGUGGUGCAUGGUUGUCGUCAGCUCGUGUCGUGAGAUGUUGGGUUAAGUCCCGCAACGAGCGCAACCCUUGUCGUUAGUUACCAGCAGUAAGAUGGGGACUCUAGCGAGACUGCCUCUGCAAGGAGGAGGAAGGCGGGGAUGACGUCAAAUCAUCAUGCCCCUUAUGACCUGGGCUACACACGUGCUACAAUGGACGGAUCAAAGGGAAGCGAAGCCGCGAGGUGAAGCGAAACUCAAAAACCCGUUCUCAGUUCGGACUGCAGUCUGCAACUCGACUGCACGAAGUUGGAAUCGCUAGUAAUCGCGAAUCAGAAUGUCGCGGUGAAUACGUUCUCGGGCCUUGUACACACCGCCCGUCACACCAUGAGAGUUGGUAACACCCGAAGCCGGUGGCCUAACCGCAAGGAAGGAGCUGUCUAAGGUGGGACUGAUGAUUGGGGUGAAGUCGUAACAAGGUAACC